RNAcentral lists this ribosomal RNA (690 nucleotides) under Triticum aestivum (bread wheat). Its description in RNAcentral is "partial small subunit ribosomal RNA". Lineage: Eukaryota; Viridiplantae; Streptophyta; Magnoliopsida; Poales; Poaceae. The record is from RNAcentral.
AUGAAAAACGAAACGUUCUCUAUCGUAUCCUGGAAUGUGCGUGGUUUAGGGGACAAUGAUAAGUGCUCUAAUGUGUUCUCUGAAAUCAAACAAUUGGGGCCUUCAAUCGCUCUGCUACAAGAAACAAAAUUGCAAACACCUGAUUCCAUCAAACUAUGAUCCAUCUUGCCACGCUUCCUCGAUUCUAAUAACCACCUAGAUGCGAUCGGAUCUGCCAGUGGAAUCCUAUCUGCUACCAACUCUCGCUGCUUCUCACUUCUUAACUGUCAGCACAAACGCUUCACUACUACCUUAACUCUAUCAUGCCUUGCCUCGCCGCAUCACAUCUUCAUCACUAAUGUAUACGCCCCCUCUCAACGUGUACUAAAACUUGAAUUCCUAGAUGAACUUAAGCAAAUAGAGCCACCAAGCACAUCUCCCUGGCUUCUCAUUAGUGACUUUAACCUUACACGAUUCCCUAAUGAGCGGAACAACAACAAAUUCAGACGAUCGGAAGCCGAUGCCUUCAAUGACACAAUUGAUCAGCUCGCUCUGUUAGAAAUACCAAUUCUGGACAGACAGUUUACCUGGUCAAACAAACGAUUAUCGCCUACGCUAAUUCGCUUAGAUAGAGUACUUAUUAACCUUCCUUGGGAUGCUCUCUUCCCAAACACGCACCUAACCUCCCUUACCAGAUUCGUCUCUGAUCAU